Molecule: long non-coding RNA, 273 nt
Filed under: Lathyrus oleraceus (garden pea)
Lineage: Eukaryota; Viridiplantae; Streptophyta; Magnoliopsida; Fabales; Fabaceae
Description: Pisum sativum (pea) long non-coding RNA (PSAT_LNC022811)
Source: RNAcentral
UUAGCCUUCUAUUUUUUUCUUCCUCUUAUCCUUCUAUUUUUUCAUUCCUUUUUUUUCUUUUCUAUUUUCUUUUUCUAUUUUUUUCUUUUUCUGCCAACUUCUGAAAUAUUACAAACAUAAUUAUUCAACUCCAAACAAGACUCUUUCAACCCUUUGAAUAGGGUGAUAACAUUGUUUUUCACUUCUCGGCUUGUAAUGAGUUUUAAACAAAAAAGGGAGAAUAGGCUCAAGGGGGUUUCAAACAAGGGAUGAAAUUAUUUCAGGGUUGACUUU